Molecule: ribosomal RNA, 396 nt
Filed under: uncultured bacterium
Lineage: Bacteria
Description: partial 16S ribosomal RNA
Rfam family: Bacterial small subunit ribosomal RNA
Source: RNAcentral
AUACGGAGGGAGCUAGCGUUGUUCGGAAUUACUGGGCGUAAAGCGCACGUAGGCGGCUUUUUAAGUCAGGGGUGAAAUCCCGGGGCUCAACCCCGGAACUGCCCUUGAAACUGGGAAGCUAGAAUCUUGGAGAGGCGAGUGGAAUUCCGAGUGUAGAGGUGAAAUUCGUAGAUAUUCGGAAGAACACCAGUGGCGAAGGCGACUCGCUGGACAAGUAUUGACGCUGAGGUGCGAAAGCGGGGGGAGCAAACAGGAUUAGAUACCCGGGUAGUCCACGCCGUAAACGAUGAUAACUAGCUGUCCGGGUUCACAGAACUUGGGUGGCGCAGCUAACGCAUUAAGUUAUCCGCCUGGGGAGUACGGUCGCAAGAUUAAAACUCAAAGGAAUUGACGGGG